This 253-nucleotide ribosomal RNA is filed under the name uncultured bacterium. Its description in RNAcentral is "partial 16S ribosomal RNA". It matches the Rfam family "Bacterial small subunit ribosomal RNA", at positions 524 to 776 of the family's 1533-position model. The record is from RNAcentral.
UACGGAGGGAGCUAGCGUUGUUCGGAAUUACUGGGCGUAAAGCGCACGUAGGCGGCUUUGUAAGUUAGAGGUGAAAGCCCGGAGCUCAACUCCGGAACUGCCUUUAAGACUGCAUCGCUUGAAUCCAGGAGAGGUGAGUGGAAUUCCGAGUGUAGAGGUGAAAUUCGUAGAUAUUCGGAAGAACACCAGUGGCGAAGGCGGCUCACUGGACUGGUAUUGACGCUGAGGUGCGAAAGCGUGGGGAUCAAACAGG